Molecule: long non-coding RNA, 2753 nt
Filed under: Nicotiana benthamiana
Lineage: Eukaryota; Viridiplantae; Streptophyta; Magnoliopsida; Solanales; Solanaceae
Description: long non-coding RNA (NBEN_LNC008235)
Source: RNAcentral
UAGGCAAACGCUAUCAAAUAAGAGAUUAUUAAUAUCAAAGUUAAUAUAUGUAUUAUUUUUCCUUAUACAUCCUGCCAAAUGACCCCGUAGAUUUUUUACUACUCUCUGUCCUAUGAAGACUUAUUACAAGUAUUUUUUCCAACUCUCUUUCUCUCUCACACACACUAUUUCUCACACAUAAAUACAAAAAAAGAAUAGUUUGGUGCACUAAGUUGCCGCUAUACGCGGGGUCGAGGGAAAGGCCGGACAUAAAGGUCUAUUGUACGCAGCCUUAGCCUACAUUUCUGCAAGAGGUUGUUUCCACGGCUUGAAUCUGUGACCUCCUUGUCACAAUGCAUCAACUUUACCAGUUACGCCAAGACUUCCUUCACACACACAAAAUUCUCCUCCUUUAGACAAUCUUUCAAUGAAAAUUUGUUGAAAGGCCUUUGAGUUCUUUUGAAAUGUAGAGAAAUCAUCUCUUAAAGCCUCUGCUUUUGUACAAAUCUCUUGUUUUCUCUGUAAAACAAGAGUAGUGAAUUGUGACUGGUGAAGGCUACUUAAUUGAGGUCCUUUUUAUCCUUUCUAAAAUAACUAGCUAAAUCUUGAUUAUUGACUCAGUCUUGUAUGCAAUUUCUAAUAAAGGAAUUGUCAGCAGUCAACGAAACUUAAAACUCUUGAGGAAGAUUUUAUAGCAGGUCUUUUUCUUAGGGGAAAAGAAUCAGUCAUAGUUUGAAAUUUCGUCUCAUCUACUUUCUUGACAGCCAUUACAGUCAAAAUCACUAAUGGAAAGAAGAACAUGAAAAGUCCUUUCAAAAGGGCAAUACCCUUGUCCUACCAUUAGUAACUUCCACAUUUUCCAAAUAAAAAUGUUGAAAGCUUGAACAGGGGAGUGUUCACUUGUUUCUAUGCAGAAAUAGAAAUAUUAGCAAAAACCAUUAUAUUCCAAGUGUUGAAUUUUCGCUGGACGGCAAAUAUCGUACUGCUUUCGUUAAACAUCAAAUUCGUGCUUGGAUACUUGCUACCUCCAACCAACAUAGGUAUCGAAUAACUCUAUCUUACCAAGGCUUAGGCGGAUUGAAAGAAUUCAUCUAACAUUCUUUUGUCUCCGAAGGGACUUAAGUGCUGGUCAUUCAUGGUUUUUACUCACUUUAUUGACCAUUAACCGUACCUUGAGUGCUGCCACCUACAUGUAUUAUAUAUAUUACAACAACAACAACCCAGUAUAAUCCCACUUAGUGGGAUCUAGGGAGGAUAGUCUUUACGCAGACCUUACCCCUACCCUGGGGUAGAGAGUCUGUUUCCAAAUAGAUCCCCGGCAUCCUUACCUCCAAGAGCUUCCCACCUUGCUCUUGGGGAGACUCGAACUCACAACCUCUUGGUUGGAAGUNNNNNNNNNNNNNNNNNNNNNNNNNNNNNNNNNNNNNNNNNNNNNNNNNNNNNNNNNNNNNNNNNNNNNNNNNNNNNNNNNNNNNNNNNNNNNNNNNNNNNNNNNNAAACCUCUUGGUUGGAAGUGGGGGUUGCUUACCAUCACAAUGUAUUAUAUAUAUAUUGUUAUAGUAAAUUCAUUAGAAAUGGAGACAAUGCAGCUGCAUAAGUUAGAGAUUUCCAAAGAUGGAGUUGACUCCAAAGAGAGGUUGCAUAAAAGGAGCAACAUUACUUGAUGUCAUUUCACCAACAGAACAGGUUUUGAUAUAAAUCUUUAUGUAGUAAACUUUGUUGCUGUAUACAACCUCAGCCCCUCCAACCCCCCCUUGCAUAAAUUCAAGCUUCUAGUUCUAUGAAACCAAUCUAUAAGUCCCUCGAGUUUGCUAAUACAACACAAGAAAAAGGGAUACUACUUUUGGUAGCAGAGAACUUAGCUACAGCCUACAGGGGCAUAAUUGACUUGGUCUAUGUUGCUCGGAUCCUCCAAAAAUAUGUCUGGUGUGUGUCCGAUCCUCCAAAAGUCAUGCAUUGUUGGAGGAUCUGCCAUAGGGGCAGUGAUUUGGAGGAUCCGAGUAACAUAGGACUUGGUUGAUGCCUAAGAAGCCAUAUGCAUAUAACUAUAACUAACACUUCAAAAACCUUCAUUUACCAUGUUCAUGACAUAUGCCUUAAGCAUCAACCAAAUAAACAGGCUGAAACAAGCUAAUUUUUUUCUCUAUAAAUGACAUUAUACUAAUCUUGAUAUUUAUCUAACAUGAAGAGGAAAAAAGAGUUGACUAAUAUCAACCUCCAGUACUAUUCGUAGUGGAGCUACUAGCCCAUGUAUCGAUCACAGUAUCAGGUGAUGCUGGAAUAUUUUUCUUCAAUAAUACAGCAUCCUCCGUUUCAGAAGGAAUAUGCGCUUUUACCCUUCUAAGCUCAGUACAUUUACCAGUGAUCUCCUUUCUGUGGUAAUUUUUCCAUUCACCUUCCUUAAUAGUCUUCAACGUCUCGAGCACUUCUUCCAUUUUAGGCCUCAUGUCCUUCACACCUUGCAGGCACUGAAAAGCUAGUUCUGCAACUGAUAUAGUCAUCCUUCUAAUUUCAGCAUCUGUCUCGAAUCCAAGAGAUGGAUCGAUCACUUCAUCAAACGCACAUUUUAGUAUCCUGUUCAUCGCGAAGUUAGCCAAGUUAAUCUCUUCUAUAUGUCUAUUCAUAUCCACUGCAGGCAUUGAUGAUAUGAGCUCGACGAGGACAACCCCAAAGCUAUAAACAUCACUCUUAUCGGUAAGCUGGUAACAUUCAUGAUACUGAGGAUCAACAUAUCUCGGGGUCCCCUGAGGUGCAGUUGAGAUAUGAGUAACAUC